This 253-nucleotide ribosomal RNA is filed under the name uncultured bacterium. RNAcentral describes it as "partial 16S ribosomal RNA". It matches the Rfam family "Bacterial small subunit ribosomal RNA", at positions 524 to 776 of the family's 1533-position model. The record is from RNAcentral.
UACGGGGGGGGCAAGCGUUGUUCGGAAUUACUGGGCGUAAAGGGCUCGUAGGCGGCCCGCUAAGUCGAACGUGAAAUCCCCGGGCUCAACCCGGGAACUGCGUCCGAUACUGGCAGGCUUGAAUCCGGGAGAGGGAUGUGGAAUUCCAGGUGUAGCGGUGAAAUGCGUAGAUAUCUGGAGGAACACCGGUGGCGAAGGCGGCAUCCUGGACCGGUAUUGACGCUGAGGCGCGAAAGCCAGGGGAGCAAACGGG